UCCGGGGUAGUUCAGUGGUAGAACGCGUGACUGUUAAUCACGAUGUCGCAGGUUCGAAUCCUGCCUCCGGAGCCA
This 75-nucleotide transfer RNA is filed under the name Candidatus Komeilibacteria bacterium CG_4_9_14_0_8_um_filter_36_9. RNAcentral's name for it is "tRNA-Asn". It matches the Rfam family "tRNA". From Rfam's summary of the family: Transfer RNA (tRNA) molecules are approximately 80 nucleotides in length. Their secondary structure includes four short double-helical elements and three loops (D, anti-codon, and T loops). Further hydrogen bonds mediate the characteristic L-shaped molecular structure. tRNAs have two regions of fundamental functional importance: the anti-codon, which is responsible for specific mRNA codon recognition, and the 3' end, to which the tRNAs corresponding amino acid is attached (by aminoacyl-tRNA synthetases). tRNAs cope with the degeneracy of the genetic code in two manners: having more than one tRNA (with a specific anti-codon) for a particular amino acid; and 'wobble' base-pairing, i.e. permitting non-standard base-pairing at the 3rd anti-codon position. Lineage: Bacteria; Candidatus Komeiliibacteriota. The record is from RNAcentral.